AUCGAACGCUGGCGGCAGGCCUAACACAUGCAAGUCGAGCGGAGCGGCGGACGGGUGAGUAAUGCCUAGGAAUCUGACUGGUCGUGGGGGUUAACGUACGGAAACGGGCGCUAAUACCGCAUACUUUCAGAGGAGCCUAGGUCGGAUUAGCUGGUUGGGGGGGUAAAGGCCUUCCAAGGCUACGAUGCGUAACUGGUGUGAGAGGAUGAUCAGUCACACUGGAACGAGGACACGGUCCAGACUCCUACGGGAGGCAGCGGUGGGGAAUGUGGGACAAUGGGCGAAAGGCUGAACCAGCCAUGCCGCGUGUGUGGAGAAGGUCAUCAGGUUGUAAGGCUCUUUAAGUUGGGAGGCGGUACCAACAGAAUAAGCACCGGCUAACUUCGUGCCAGCAGCCGCGGUAAUUC
RNAcentral lists this ribosomal RNA (407 nucleotides) under uncultured bacterium. RNAcentral's name for it is "partial 16S ribosomal RNA". It matches the Rfam family "Bacterial small subunit ribosomal RNA", at positions 29 to 526 of the family's 1533-position model. The record is from RNAcentral.